This 64-nucleotide transfer RNA is filed under the name Youtuus erythrus. RNAcentral's name for it is "tRNA-Ser". Lineage: Eukaryota; Metazoa; Arthropoda; Insecta; Hemiptera; Caliscelidae. The record is from RNAcentral.
AGUUAAAAAGCUAAAAGCAAUAUAUCUUGAAAAUAUAAGAAAGAAAAAAUUAUUCUGUUAACUU